CCCUUAGAUGUCCUGGGCCGCACGCGCGUUACACUGAUGCAUUCAACGAGCUUAUAACCUUGGCCGAGAGGCCUGGGCAAUCUUGUUAACGUGCAUCGUGAUAGGGAUAGAUUAUUGAAAUUAUUAAUCUUGAACGAGGAAUUCCUAGUAAACGCAGAUCAUCAAUCUGCAUUGAUUACGUCCCUGCCCUUUGCACACACCGCCCGUCGCACCUACCGAUUGGAUGGUCCGGUGAAGCCUCGGGAUUGUGGUUCUUGCCGCUUUAUUGUGGCGUGACCGCGAGAACUUGUCUAAACCUUAUCAUCUAGAGGAAGGUGAAGUCGUAACA
This 328-nucleotide ribosomal RNA is filed under the name uncultured eukaryote. RNAcentral describes it as "partial 18S ribosomal RNA". It matches the Rfam family "Eukaryotic small subunit ribosomal RNA", at positions 1470 to 1796 of the family's 1831-position model. The record is from RNAcentral.